ACGUCAACCACCGGCCUAAGGAAAGCAGCGGGAAAGCUAAAGUGUGACGCGGCUUAAGCAGCUUGUCUGAGUUUGCACAGCUGGCAAAUGGCUGAGCCAUGACUCACACCCAGGUCCAUCCACCGCCAAAGCUCCAGAUCUCUGGCAUCCUUCUAAGGUCAGAAAGGGAAAGAAAUCCCUAAUAAGGAGCCUGUGUGACGGCGUGCCCCCCUCCACUUUCCCACCCCUGCCAAGGACCCGUUUGAAGGCUGUUCACGCCAGUCACUGCAAUCACCAUUGAGCACAGAGAUGACAGUUCCAGCAAGCACUGACCUUCCAGCCCACUCUGCGGAGGAGAAGACUGAGGGGCAGAGAGGCUGUUGAUUUGCUGCAGUUGACUCUGACCCUAAUUUCCCGGCGCUGACUCAAACUCAUCAGGAACACUGCUUUCACUGAGUGUAUGAAGUGGUUUCUCCAUCCGUGUGGCUUUACCUGAACUCACACCGGUCCCACGGCCCAGGUGUGGAGCCGAGCACUCCCCUCUGCCUCCUCCCUGGACUGCAGGACCUGUGUCUCGCUUUAUGAAAGAGAUGCCAUUUGGGGAAGACUCGCAUUGUCGGGAGCGCUGUGGACGCUCCAGAAGGAGAUCAACACGAUGAUGACGAUGCCGGGUGGAGGGAAUGUGCACUUCUCGGGAGCCAGAAAAGAAUAAUCUGAAUGUCUCCAGCAUCAAGAAAAGACCAGUAUUGAAGGAGGAGCCAAAAGCAUUUUGCUGACCUCGGUGCAGAUCAACCCUGCAACAAGGUGCAGAAGAGGCACCAAAGGGGCUUUGUAGCCAGCAACAUGCCAGAUCCAUGCACCUUGUUGAUGCAGCCGACUCUGCAGGGGUGCAGGAGGGAUCACUGGAUUCAAAAGGCGCUGAGAAGCAUUUUCUCCUCCCGUCUUUUGGAGGUGUUUGUGAAGAUCUGAUAUUAACUCCUCUUCAGAUGUUUGGUAGAAUUCAGCAGUGAAGCUGUCUGCGGGGCAGAUGCCUAUGAAAGGCGCCCUGGUGUGUUCGAGGCACGAUGAGGAGCCUCCUACUCACCUGGCCUCCACCGCCCACCCAGCACCCCUGGGGACUGUCCCCAUCCCCCCAGGGACUCCAGAGGGAAUGUGUUUUGUGCCGUGUGGAAAACAAGCCAUGCUCACUGCACACCACGACAGUCCCUUCAAGCUGUCAGAGUCCCUGCAUGUGGAGUGAAAAGGGGGAAAAAAGACAAUUUACAAUUGCAAAUUGGAACCCCUCUCUCGGAGUGGAGUGAUAAUCCAGCUAGGGAGACAGACGGUGAGGAAGUGCUCCAGGAACAUGUUACAACACAUCACUGCCUAGCAGAGACGAGAGGCUCCAGGAAGGACCUGGUGCCUGCCAUUCCAACCUUGAGGGGCUCCUGGAGGGACGCUGAGGACAAGGCGGCUGUCCCAUCACCUCACUCUUGUCUCUGCCCUCACCUCUCCCCACCGUGCAGGGCUCAGGACUACGGGCGCCCAGACACAAAGGCCCAGAGCCACAGAACAGUGAACUCCACACUGUGCAGCUGUUGGCGGGAGGGGCGGGGAGAGAGACCAGAGUCCCAUUUCUGCUGCCUUUUAAAUAAAAGACAAGGAGGAUGGCGAGGAGGAGGUCAAAA
Molecule: long non-coding RNA, 1646 nt
Organism: Homo sapiens (human)
Lineage: Eukaryota; Metazoa; Chordata; Mammalia; Primates; Hominidae
Product: long intergenic non-protein coding RNA 1345
Source: Ensembl